GGUCACCUCCUCCAUGGACUGCUCAGUUAGGACCUGGGACCUGCCCACUGGAAGCAUAGCUCUCUCUCCGUCAGGUGACUUUCUGGCAACCACCCACCUUGAUGACCUCGACAUUUACCUGUGAUCCAACAAGACCAUGUUACUCUCAUGUUUCACUCUGUCCACUAUCAGAAAUAACCAAACCUACUUUUACCGAUCUACCUACUACCAAGCUGACAGAGCACGAUGAAACUGAUGUUGAAUCAAACACACAAAGAAACGAAAAUGAACUAACGAUGCAUGGACGAAGUUUUCGAGAAGUGUACGUACACCUCUUGCUGAGGGUUUAGUAACUCAUCCAUGCUACCAAAGUCCAGACGGUCUAAUCUACAAAACCUCGACAUAAUCAAGCAACGGAACAAACCUAUGUAGCCAGCAAAAACUCCAAAACUGGCACCAUUUUCCCUCCCCACUCUCCCUGGCCUGCAGCCGAAGUUUCUCCCAUCUGAGGAGGGUAGUGACAUCCCAGUUACCGAAGUGGGUGUGGGGUCCAAGAUAUUCAACCUAGGGGAGCUCAAUCCUCUCUCAGAAUUUCAAAAGUGCCUUCAACAAUGUGCUGGUAGCAACCAAUAUGCCCCCCUGAUGGGCCUAAUGAAAGAGCUACCUCCUGCGUCCAUAGAUGCUGAGACUUUGAGUUGGUACAGUCGUAUAUUGGCUCAAGCUGCAUUCCAGUCUGAUUUUUAAAAGCCCUAACCUUUUGACAUUGACAGAGAAGCUAUACUCUCCAACACAAACAAGCAUGGACUAGCCUUCAGCAUGACUUGAACAUGAGUGCUUGUCUGUUAGCCUACUGCAAGAGUGCUGUUAUUUAGGUAUGUGUAUUUUGUAUUACGAUGUUUGCUGAAUGUGAAUCUCUUAAUUACGCCUUGUUCCCAGGACACUAUGGGGCGACCUAGCGUUAUUCUAGAGACAAUUUAAGCAGCAAGCAGCACGUUUAUAAAUUUAUAGACAUUGUUGUUAUAUUUACCGUUUGGAACAUUUACUGUUUGGAACUAUAUUAGCGUCAUCCCAGACUGAGCGGUUUUUAGAGACAUUUUAUCACUAAUACCAGGAUCCCAUAAAGGAGCGUCUAACUUUAGCGUAUACUCAAAUGUCACCUUUCGUAAUUGCCAGUGAAAUUGCAUUUCCUUAUAAUUUGUAUACAAUUCAAUUUCGUUUAUUGUCUCAAUUGCAAAUGCAAACUUAUUCCCCUACUAUAACACUCAAUACUUUUUGAGUGAAAGCAUAACAUGGCGAGAGGUAUUAGCACAGCGCAGCUUGCAACACUCGUUUUCCUUGCAAAUACACCAAAACAACAACAUGGAUUGUUCAAAUCAUUAUAUAAUCAUUGAUCUCAUAGUGAAACUUACAUGUAGUACGUAUUUGUUUUUCAAAACAAUAACCGAUAUAUUAUACUCAUGCAAAUGACGAUUGUUUAUAUAAUCAUUGAUCUCAUAGUGAAACUUACAUGUAGGUUUUGUUUCCAAACAAUAACUGAUUGUGUAUAUAUACUCAUGCAUGACAAUGCGUUAUGUGCAAGUCAUGUGCUUAAUGACCCGAGAGACAAAAUAUUCAUGGCCUGCAUGGGAAUUAAUCAUGUGAUGGCUGUUCUACAUGGCGUAUAAAUGUCACUGCUAGCAACUAGAAUACAGUAAUAUCUCUACGUAAGUACACAGUAUUUGGUAGAGGCCUAAAAGUGUAAUCUAUAUUGUGACCCCGCAAUCAUCAUCAUCAUUAUGGCUACCAAAAAGAACCCCAAAAUUUCAAAAACAGACUCCAAAAAGCCAGUAGCAGUUAAAGUAUGUGUCCAUCCUAUCAAUGUAGGGCAAGGAGAUGCGAUAUUGCUGGAGGUUGAAUAUUCUGAUGGUAAGUGAUUUUGUGUCUUACGGAAAUAUAGCAUGAUCCAAGUUAUACCUCUGUAUUUA
Halichondria panicea is the source of this 1943-nucleotide long non-coding RNA. RefSeq lists it as uncharacterized. The record is from RefSeq and is a predicted model, not a curated record. The transcript has 4 exons. NCBI's taxonomy places the organism in Eukaryota, Metazoa, Porifera, Demospongiae, Suberitida, Halichondriidae.